Molecule: ribosomal RNA, 264 nt
Filed under: uncultured bacterium
Lineage: Bacteria
Description: partial 16S ribosomal RNA
Rfam family: Bacterial small subunit ribosomal RNA
Source: RNAcentral
GUCCACGCUGUAAACGAUGUGUGCUAGACGUUGGGGGUUGCCUCCCGGUGUCGCAGCUAACGCGGUAAGCACACCGCCUGGGGAGUACGGCCGCAAGGUUAAAACUCAAAGGAAUUGACGGGGGCCCGCACAAGCGGUGGAGCAUGUGGUUCAAUUCGACGCAACGCGAAGAACCUUACCAGCUCUUGACAUGGGUAGUAUGGGCCUGGGCGACUGGGUCCUUCAGUUCGGCUGGCUACCACACAGGUGCUGCAUGGCUGUCGU